This 1605-nucleotide long non-coding RNA is filed under the name Jatropha curcas. RNAcentral's name for it is "long non-coding RNA (JCUR_LNC001404)". The record is from RNAcentral. Lineage: Eukaryota; Viridiplantae; Streptophyta; Magnoliopsida; Malpighiales; Euphorbiaceae.
UGUCUUCGGCAGCUGAGAUAUCAGACUUACCGUGGGCUCUUAGAUAAGCUUCAGGCAUAAAUUUGGUAAUUUAGUUAGUUCUAGGUCUAAUAGAGUAAGGACAAUUAAGUAAUUCUCCACCAUAAAAAAUCGUGGGUAUUUCGUAAUAACUCUAGAAAGCGAGGCGAAAUUUGAGAGGAAAAACCAAAACUGGUGCGCUUUGGUUGGUUGUAUCGCCGGGUCCUCUAUUUUCCUUUCACUUCUUCCCCCCUAUAAAAACGGUCUUUUGAAGAAAGAAGAGAAGCAGUACCACUACCUACUCUGCUAUUAUACAACAGUCACCAAACCACACCAACGAUAACUGCUCCUUGAGCGUUAGGUGAAAGGAUCCAUUUCAUUUCAUUUCAAGCUUUUGUUUGUUAAGUCAGUGACUCAGAUUUUUACAAGAAUAUCCUUUUCAUCAUAUUCAUCUACCUUCCAGUCACCUUUCGGUCCAACAUUUUAUUCGUCAUGAAUUUUCAUCAGCCACCUCAACCAUACAAGUGCCUCUUUUUCUAGAAUCCUACAGCAAGGAACUACUUAUACCAGGGAAUAUUUUUAUCGUAUCCCAAAAUAUUUAAACAGAGUAGAUUACAUAUUUUUAACUCACUACAGCAUACAUAGUGUAAAGAAAUUAUAAAUCACAAAUUUUAAAUAAGUGAUUUUUUAUUUGGUAUAUAAAUCAAUCUCAACUAUUUACACUUGUUUUCAUUGGAUCAUAUAAUAUUUGUUAAAUUUAUUUUGUUCAGAAUCAAAAUCGAAUAGAAACUAUAUCAAUUGAUUUCAAAAUCUUAACAAGAACUAUGAUUAUAUAACAAAUGAAGUUCUCAUUUCAUAAACAUUUCUUUAAUUGGUGAUGUACAAUUUGAAAUUUCUAUUUUGCCUUUUUUCUCUGAACAGUUCAAAUUUUUCAAUCGAAUAACUUUAUUCAAAUAAUUAUUUUGUAAAAUAGAUCUCUAAAAGAAAGAAUUGUUCAAUAUAAAUUUAAAUAACUUAUAAAAUCACCAUUAUAUUAUAUUAUUAUCCUAAGGUUUGUCUACGUAAUAUACUAAAGAUAAAUGUAUAUUUUGUUGGUGGGUCAAUACAAUUGAAUUGAAAAAUGCGCUAACCAUCCUAUUCUGGUUUUUGAAUUUUCAGUCUUUGUAUUGUCUUCGGCAGCUGAGAUAUCAGACUUACCGUGGGCUCUUAGAUAAGCUUCAGGCAUAAAUUUGGUAAUUUAGUUAGUUCUAGGUCUAAUAGAGUAAGGACAAUUAAGUAAUUCUCCACCAUAAAAAAUCGUGGGUAUUUCGUAAUAACUCUAGAAAGCGAGGCGAAAUUUGAGAGGAAAAACCAAAACUGGUGCGCUUUGGUUGGUUGUAUCGCCGGGUCCUCUAUUUUCCUUUCACUUCUUCCCCCCUAUAAAAACGGUCUUUUGAAGAAAGAAGAGAAGCAGUACCACUACCUACUCUGCUAUUAUACAACAGUCACCAAACCACACCAACGAUAACUGCUCCGCUAUGGAUUCCGAUUUCGGCAUUCCCAGAGAACUUUCCGAGCUUCAAAAACAACGAUCUCAUUACCAGCCGGAGCUCCCUCCUUGUCUUCAGG